This 507-nucleotide long non-coding RNA is filed under the name Cricetulus griseus (Chinese hamster). Its description in RNAcentral is "lncRNA (ENSCGRG00015041777.1)". Lineage: Eukaryota; Metazoa; Chordata; Mammalia; Rodentia; Cricetidae. The record is from RNAcentral.
UUUGUCUCAAAGGAUUAAGCCCUCACUAGAUUGGGUCCUUUGACUUUCAGUCUCCAAUUUAGGCAGGUCCUCUUUAUACGAGUAAUCACAGAGCUUCAGAUUGUGUAGGCAUCUACCCCCUUUUGCUCCGGGCAAAGGAACAUGUACAUUUUUUUUGUGAUUUAUUUAAAUGUAUUUUAUGUGCAUUGGUGUGAAGGUGUUAGAUACCCUGGAACUGGAAUUACCGUUAUGAGCUGACAUGUGGGUACUAGGAAUUGGAUCUGGAAUUGGAAGAGCAGCCAGUGCUCUUAACUGAUAAGCCAUCUCUCCAGCCUGGAACAUGAACUUUUAAAAAAGGAAUUAAGGGAACACGUAUUUACUGAAGUCCAGGUACCAGGUUUUCAUGGCCUAGGAUUAAGAGCAUGCUAUUAGGAGCCUCAAUGGAACCAUGAGAUAAAAUACAGGUUCUGCCCUAUGCCUGUGAAGAAGGAAUGCUGUACCGAAAAGCCGAGAGGGAUGAAAAGAAAC